RNAcentral lists this long non-coding RNA (6147 nucleotides) under Salmo salar (Atlantic salmon). Its description in RNAcentral is "lncRNA (ENSSSAG00000106055.1, ENSSSAG00000113844.1)". Lineage: Eukaryota; Metazoa; Chordata; Actinopteri; Salmoniformes; Salmonidae. The record is from RNAcentral.
GUAAGGAUCACCAGUCCACUCCAAUCCAGAACUGGCAAGCCCACUGACUGAACACUCAAGGGACAUAUCCUGCUCUGUGAAUAACUCAUUAACAAGUUUUUGGAGCCUAUAUAAUGUCUUUUUACGCAGAUCCAUUUAAAACAUCUAGUGCCCUUGCAAUGGACUUCAAGGAGCUGGGAGGCGAGGACAACUGCGAAGGAGAUACAGAGGGAAACGCAGAGGAUUUGAACAAUGUGAAAGUACUUACCGAAAAACUAAAGUUACAAACCCGCAGACCGUCCUACUUUGAAUGGCAGGAGCGCUUGCAGAGCCGACCGUGGAAGGAGAACCCAAAUGGUUUAGAUAAUAGUCAAGAGACUGCAGAGAAAUAUGUGUUUUUGCCUGAAAUUAUGCGGGAUGAGAACUCAGAUCUAACCAUCCGCAACAUCUGUGGCUUCGAUACCAUUGAUGAUGCGUUGGAUUUUCUUAGAAAGGAGCUGAGGGAGAUGCGGUUCCAGGAUAACCGUCUAGCGCGCCAGCUGAUCCGCCUGCGUGUGGAGAUCCACCGGCUGAAGGUGGAGCAGGUGUGUCACCGCCACAAGGAGAUGCUGGACGACGCCACCUACGAGCUGGAGGAGUGUGGCGAGGAGUCUGACCUGCUCUGUGACAUCCCCAUGAAGGCUGCCUUCGCCCUCUCCACCCCCCUCAAACACCUUGGCCUCACCAAGAUGAACAUCAACUCCCGACGCUUCUCCCUCUGUUAAAACAUAUACCACCCUGCGAGGCUUGACUUACUGUAUUAACGCCUCUAUCUAAUCUAUGCAGGGUAAUCAGGGGUUUUCCACUGCACAGGUUUCUGUUAUGACAUGAGAGGGAAGAAGAAUGGCUGGCAGAGCAGGCAGACUGUAAUUAGCCAAGUGGGAGGAAAUGGAAAUGACUCCUCUGCUCCGUGCCUAGCCCUGACGUGAGAGAGACACAGGCCUCCAUAGUAGAGCCCUGUAGGCGCACGGCAUACACCCAUAGCAAAGAUGCACCUUUCCAACGCACCUCAGGGAAGGUGCGGACUGGUAGGUCAGAGUAGAUAGACAGGGAAGAUGGUGAUGAGUUGUGGCUCUGGAACGGAUAUGGUUUGAGUUUGGAUUGUCAUGGUGUCCGCUCAAUUGCACUGUAUUCAGAUAAUUAGUUAUGAUGACCCACUGACAUAUAGAAUAGGCCUGACUGCCAUGGUGGUACCGUAACUAGAGAUGUCUCUUGAGCGUUGCACAGGGGAAUUGUCUUUCUUCAGACAAAGAAAAAAUGGUCACAGCGCUAACACUCAUUAACACGAGUCCCAUACUUUAAUCACAACCCAGGAGGAAGUAUGCAUCUCUUCAUACAGACACCUUAACAUUAGUCACACCACCAGGGACAUUUGACAGCCUAGUGGGAAGCAUUUCUCUCCCCUCUGCAUUGGCAGAGUCCCAGUCCACACUCCUCAGGAAGCUGUAGGUCACAUUCCAGCAUUCUGUCACCUCUUCUUCUGAGACCAGAAAUAGCAAGGAUCUCCAUUGGGUCAUGGCUUCAGUGAUAGGACAUUAUUCCAGGCGAUGCCUUAUGUAGUACUCCAUGCUUUUUAUUUUCCUUUAGAUGAUCCAGAUAUUGUAGACAGACCACAGCCCAAUGUGCUGUCAUUGUGUUUUACAGUAGAUUAUAGGCUUGGCCAACUGCAAUGUUGUCCAAGUAAAAAACUGUAUCAAAGUUUUUGAUGUAUUUAAAGAUAUUGUUCUCAGGAAGAAAGAGGAGAAACUGAAAGUAUUUUGGGGUGGGAAAUUUGAGGGAGUGAAUGUUGAACAGGAUUUGGUGGGUGUUACAAAAUGUUACAAAAUGUUUGCUGAAUAUACACAAAGCAAAAUGUAGAUUUGUAAGUGCCUGCUAAUGCAAGUUCCUGCUAAUGCAGGAAUAUCUCAAGGCCAUCCAUUAAUGUAUGAGGGAAAUGACUAGAGGCAGACUAGAGCAGUUUUCAAGAUGCUUGUUUUUCAAUGUAUUUGUUUAAAUGCACAAAAAAUUGCAACAAACUUGAAAAUACACUUGAGAAAAGAAAAUUGUUGUCUGUCUGUCCAUUAAGGUAGGCCGUCGUUGUAAAUAAGAAUUUGUUCUUAACUGACUUACCUAGUUAAAGGUAAAAAAAGUUAGAACAGGGUAAAUGACCUGAGUCAUUACGUGAGACCUCACUGAGUGCUCAGUCAGCUAUAACCUUUCACAUCCUGAAAUACCUUCAGUUUCCUCUUUCAACUACAGCAGGCAUUUGUCUCUUAAAAAUUACGCGGUGUAAGCUGAUCAGAAAACCUCCUAAGGCAGGGUUCCCCAACUGGUUGUUUUAUUUGCGCCCCCAAGUUUUCUGAGCCAUAAAAAAAUACAUUUUUUCCCAUUGUUGCACAUAAACUGUAAAAAAAACAGGAAAUCAGCUCCAAGUGAUUUUAAUUUGGGAAAUCUGUUCCCAAGUAUUUCCACCUAUAAUAGAGACACGUGAUCAUAUGCAAAGGUUUCAAAUUAUUACGUUUUAGUCAAAUAUUAUAUCUGUUUGUGCUUCUUGCAUUCAAUUUGCAGGCUACAAAUGAUUUGUAAUUAUGAUCCGGCCCCCCGACCUUCCUCUCAAGAAAAGAUCGGCCCGCGGCUGAAUCUAGUUGAUGAUCCCUGCCCUAAGGGGUACAGCAUAAAUUCAUGAAUUCAUAAAGAUGUCAAGAUGUCAUCAAUUAUUCUACAAAAUGGGUAGACAUGACAUACUAGUUUACACUGAGAUUACCUCAUGAAUGACAUGAGAGAGAGAUAACUAGGCCAAUUGGAAACAAUGUAAUUAAUUAUAGGAUAUACAGUGCAUUUGGAAAGUAUUCAGACCCCUUCCCUUUUUACACAUUUUUGUUACAUUACAGCCUUAUUCUAAAAUGGAUUAAAUAAAUAAAAAAUCCUCAUCAAUCUACACACAAUACCCAUAAUGACAAAGCAAAAAUAGGUUUUUAGAAUGUUUGCAAAUGUAUUAAAAAUAAAAAACAGAUACCUAAUUUACACAAGUAUUCAGGUCCAUUGAUCAUCAUUGAGGUGUUUUGAGAACUUGAUUGGAGUCCACCUGGGAUAAAUUCAAUUUAUUGGACAUUAUUUGGAAAGGCACAAACCUGUCUAUAGAAUGUCACACAGUUGAAGGUGCUUGUCAGGGCAAAAACCAAGCCAUGAGGUCGAGGAAAUUGUCCGUAGAGCUCCGAGACUGGAUUGUGUCGAGGCACAGAUCUGGGGAAGUUUAGCAAAACAUUUCUGAAGUAUUGAAGGUUCCCAAGAACACAGUGGCUUCCAUCAUGCUUAAAUGGAAGAAGUUUGGAACCACCAAGACUCUUCCCAGAGCUGACUGCCAGCAAAACUGAGCAAUCGGGGUAGAAGGGCCUUGAUCAUGGAGGUGACCAAGAACCCGAUGGUCACUCUGACAGAGCUCCAGUGUUCCUCUGUGGGGAUGGGAGAACCUUCCAGUAAGACAACCACCUUUGCAGCACUCCACCAAUCAGGCCUGUAUGGUAGAGUGGCCAGAAGGAAGCCACUCCUCAGUAAAAGGCACUUGACAGCCCGCUUGGAGUUAGCCAAAAGGCACCUAAAGGACUCUCAGACCAUUCUCUGGUCUGAUGAAAUGAAGAUGGAACUCUUUGGCCUGAAUACCAAGCGUAACAUCUGGAGAAAACCUGGCUAUAUGAUCACACCGGUAAUAGAUCCGUUGUUGUAUUACUUGUGAAGCACAGCUGAGUAAGCAUACAAAUAAUUCCCUUUUUAUUAUAUGACAGAACCACCCACCGAAAGAAGACCAAACAGCGGGGUAAGGAGCAGGAGAAGUAUUUGGAGUCGUGGACAUGGGAGGAGAUUUUAGACGGGAAAGGACCCUGGAGGCAGGCUGGAGAGUAUCGUCGACCGAAGGAGGAACUGGAGGCAGCGAAGGCAGAGCGGCGCUACUAUGAGGCGCUGUAUAAGCCAAGAGGCAAGUGCGAGAGGCACUCUGCCCAACACGGGGAGUUGGGCAGAGUCAGGGUGGAGUCCUGAGCCAACUCCCCGUGCUUACCGUGGGGAGCGGGUGACGAGGAGAGCGCCGAGCUAUGCGGAAAUGCGCAUGGUAUCGCCCACACGCACGCACAGUCCGGUGCGGUCAGUGUGGGCUCCGCAGCGUUGCCGGGCGAGAGUUGGCCGGCAGCCAGGGAGAAGUGCGCCGGCGCAGCGCAUCUGGCCACCAGUACGUCUCCUCGGUCCAGCUUACCCUGCGCCUGCUCUACGCACGGCAGCCCUCACUCUCCAGCACAGCCCAGUUCGCCCUGUGCCAGCGCUCCGCCCGUGCCGGGCUACAGUGACCAUUCAGCCAGGACGGGGUGUGCCAGCCCUGAGCUCCAGACCGCCGGUUCACCUCCACGGCCCAAUGUGCCCCGUGCCUGCGCUGCGCACCCAGUCUCCUGUAAGUCUCCCCAGUCCGGGGAGACCGGUCCCAGCUCCACGCAGGAGGCCUCCAGUGACGCUCCUCAGCCCGGAGCCUCCAGCGACGCUCCCCAGUCAGGAGCCUCCAGCGACGCUCCCCAGUCAGGAGCCUCCAGCGACGCUCCCCAGUCAGGAGCCUCCAGCGACGCUCCUCAGCCCGGAGCCUUCAGCGACGCUCCCCAGUCAGGAGCCUCUAGCGACGCCCCUCAGCCCGGGGCCUCCAGCGACGCCCCUCAGCCCGGGGCCUCCAGCGACGCCUCUCAGCCCGGGGCCUCCAGCGACGCCUCUCAGCCCGGGGCCUCCAGCGACGCCUCUCAGCCCGGGGCCUCCAGCGACGCCUCUCAGCCCGGGGCCUCCAGCGACGCCUCUCAGCCCGGGGCCUUCAGCGGUGGUCUGCAGCCAAGGGCCUUCAGCGGUGGUCUGCAGCCAAGGGCCUUCAGCGGUGGUCUGCAGCCAAGAGCCUUCAGCGGUGGUCUGCAGCCCAGAGUCUUCAGAACGGGAGCUACGCCCAGAGCCAGAGCCACCUCCGUAGUGGGAGGAUUGGCGAAGGGGGGGGUAGCACAGGAACCGUCAUUGGCGGUGGCCACCCUCCGUUCCCUCCCUUUAGGUUGUGUUUUUUUUGUUGUUUUUUUUGUUUUGAGGUGCAGUCGGGGUCUGCACAUUUGGGGGGGGGGGGUACUGUCACAUCCUGACCAGUAAAGGGGUCGUGGCAGGGGUGUUGUUUUUGUGUGUUUUGGGGUUGGUUUAUUUAGAGGGGAUUUGUUCUAGUUUUCAUUUUCUAUGUUCGUUUUCUAUGUGUGGCCGAGUAUGGUUUCCAAUCAGAGGCAGGUGUCUUUCGUUGUCUCUGAUUGGAAGCCAUACUUAGGCAUCCCUUUUUUCCUUUGGGUUUGUGGGUGGUUGUUUUCUGUAUAGCCUGUGCCUUACGGAACUGUUUGGUCGUUUGUUUAUUUUGUUUGAGUGUUCACUCUAAAUAAAGAAAGAAGAUGAGCACUAUACCCUCUGCGCCUUGAUCUGUCCCUUACGACGCUUAUGACAUGUUGACAGUACUGAGUAAGAACUUUAAACAUUAACUCACUCAUAAAAACAGCAUCUCUUUGUUGUAUUUGUUGACAGUCUCUCUUGUCAUAGUUUUAAACUAGGGCUGUCAAAGUUAACGCAUUAAUAACGCGUUUAAUGCUUACAUUUUUAAUGCUGUAAAAAAAAUCACGCCAUUAACACAUUUUCGUAGCUUGACCCCCUGAACCAUCCAUACAGUGGCGAUUUUAGCAUGCAAAUCUUGGUGGGGCAAACUGCAAAAAUAGUUUUAGAUGCCUUCCAGCAAAGCCACUACACAACACAACAUUAAACGAUACAUUAAUUGCACUAUAACGGUGACAAACGGUGCUCACAAACUGUUAGGGCCUUCUUUUUAGCCACUGCUACACCUGGUUAUCAUCAAACAGUUCAUUCAGCCUCAUUUACUGCCUUUAAAAAAACAUAGCUGAUAUGGCUGACUUGCUUAAACAAAUGUGGUUUCUACUGACAAUUGAGAUGUACAAACUAUGGCAUAUGGGGACGACGAGCGGAUAAGAGGCAAUCAGUCAGUUUGAUUAAGACAUUAAUGAGCAUGCUAGGACGGACGUAGUCAAUAUAACUAUUUGUUCAGCACUUUUGAAAUGUGCAGCGACAGAAUUCAGAACAUGGGCCAUUCUU